This 133-nucleotide ribosomal RNA is filed under the name Lentzea jiangxiensis. Its description in RNAcentral is "23S rRNA. Bacterial LSU". It matches the Rfam family "Bacterial large subunit ribosomal RNA", at positions 2792 to 2925 of the family's 2925-position model. The record is from RNAcentral. Lineage: Bacteria; Bacillati; Actinomycetota; Actinomycetes; Pseudonocardiales; Pseudonocardiaceae.
GCUCGUUCCAAGAUGAGGUAUCCCACCCUUUGUGGGUUAAGGCCCCCAGCUAGACCACUGGGUUGAUAGGCCAGAGGUGGAAGACCGGUAACGGUUGGAGCUGACUGGUACUAAUAGGCCGAGGACUUGUUAC